RNAcentral lists this transfer RNA (77 nucleotides) under Chitinophaga horti. Its description in RNAcentral is "Chitinophaga sp. R8 tRNA-Asn". It matches the Rfam family "tRNA". From Rfam's summary of the family: Transfer RNA (tRNA) molecules are approximately 80 nucleotides in length. Their secondary structure includes four short double-helical elements and three loops (D, anti-codon, and T loops). Further hydrogen bonds mediate the characteristic L-shaped molecular structure. tRNAs have two regions of fundamental functional importance: the anti-codon, which is responsible for specific mRNA codon recognition, and the 3' end, to which the tRNAs corresponding amino acid is attached (by aminoacyl-tRNA synthetases). tRNAs cope with the degeneracy of the genetic code in two manners: having more than one tRNA (with a specific anti-codon) for a particular amino acid; and 'wobble' base-pairing, i.e. permitting non-standard base-pairing at the 3rd anti-codon position. The record is from RNAcentral. Lineage: Bacteria; Pseudomonadati; Bacteroidota; Chitinophagia; Chitinophagales; Chitinophagaceae.
GCGUUUGUAGCUCAGUGGAAGAGCAAGAAGGGGGCAUUAACCCCUAAAGGCCGUGAGUUCAAUUCUCACCAACCGCU